CGGUUCCGCCCUGGGUGGGGAGAAGCCCUGCUGCACCACUCGGGCUUCCCAGAGCGGGGCUGGCCCGCGGGGGAAACUGAGGCCCGGGACCCCGACCGGCGCCUGCACGGCGCUGGUAGGAGUGCUGUCACCGACGUCGUAGAGCCGCCGAGGGUGUUUCUGUAGGGUAAACAUGAAGCCUCGGCUAUAUUCCAGGCAUUUUCACUUGGAAACAUUUUACAUAAAGUAUUUGAAGGUCUAGAUAAAGAAUAACAGAGUGAUCCAUACUACAUGAUGAGGUAUUGUGCAGGAAAAAAAACUACUUCUGCAACUAAGGAAUGUAAAGUCUUAACAACGGAUGAUUUUUUUCCAAGUACAGUUGUAUUUGAUUGGAAUCAUUUGCAGAUCCAACAACAAAUCUUGAAAUAGGGGGAAAAUACAGGAGCUGUCCAAACACCAUGCAGAUGCUCCUAGGAUUCUUAAACUAGCCAAAAAUAAUUCCAGGCAUUGUCAGAUAUAGGAUAAGUACAUGAAGACAUAUUUUGCUUCUUGUCUUGGCUGACGUCAUCAUCACACAACCAGUUUCUCAAGCUGAAACAUGAGUCAUCCUCUUCCUUCAUCUCUCUCACCCUCCAAAAACAAUUGUCAACCAUGCUCUGUCAAUUAUACUGCAGAAACGUUACUCAAAUGUAAUUCCUUCAUGUAUCUCCGCAUUCCCUUGCCUUUCACAUUCCUGGAACACAAGUGCCCAAUAAGUAUUUGUUGAUUAGUAAUUGCCCAAUGAAUGCUGUAAGAAGAAAAGAUGAAGAAAAGGAGAAAACAAGGUAAGGAAAGGAAGGAGGGAGAUGGAAGGAAGGAAAGAGGUAGAUGUUUCCAAAGCAUGCUUUACAAAGACAUGAGCCAUUUUGUGGAUAACUGUAGCAUUGUUACCUUAUGUUUACUGGAGAAAAAAUAAAAUGAAUAAUCAUAAUAACAAUGACAAAAAAGUUAUUUUCCUUCCCAAUAUUUUUUCCUUGACAAUACCAAACUAAAAGUUUCACUCUGGUUAUUACGAUCUCUAUUCUGGUUAUUAUGCCAUACAAAGAUGAACUCAUUGACAAAGAAAAAUAUCAAGAAUCUUCCCCUGAUGACAAAGUGUAGCCCCGAAACAUAAUAGAAGGUCUGUGUUACCCUUUGUGGCAUCCAGGGGAUUUAUCAUCCCACUCCAAUACCCCCACCUAGGAGAGAACCUGUCAGCCUCUCCAGUAAUUUCUGCCACGAUGCUCACUGGGCCCUUACGUAGACUGACUGACUUCUCUAUUGCUACUUAUCUUGUAUCUUUAAGGCCAUGUGAACUCGAUUGAAUUACAAGUCUUUGUAGGCAGUUGCUAUGCCUUAUAUGUUCUUUAAUUUUCCUAGUUCUUAUUGAUUGAUUUAUGUAUUCAGAAACUCUCUGUUGAGUGCCUGCUCUGUACCAGACACUGUGCAAGGCACUAUGGGUAUAACUGUGAAAAGAACAGAAAAUAUAUCCAUUAUUCUGUACAUCCUCACAGAGGCUGUAAAUAAAUACUGUUGACAUUAGUUAUGAUAAUUCCCAACCCUAAUUAUCUGGGCAGAGUCAUAAACAGUGAGACUGUAGGCUGAAACUGACCUACUAAAUUGGAAUCCUACUUGCUGCAAUAUGACCUUGCCGGGCUGGUCAUCGGUGGAGCCUUGUGAUCUAUACAGAAUAUUGAGCAUUAGUCGCAGUAGCGAAGACACGGAAACAACCUAAGUGUUCACCAACAGAUGAAUGGAUGAAGCAAAUGUAGCAUAUAUACACAGUGGAAUACUAUUCAGCCUUUAAAAAGAAGGAAAUCUGGCUAACUGCAACAACAUGGAUGAACCUGGAGGAUAUUAUAUAAGUGAAAUAAGCCAGGCAUGGAAAGUUUUUGUAGAGAUGAAGUCUUGCUGUGUUGCCCAGGCUGGUCUCCAACUCCUGUACUCAAGCUAGCUUCCUGCUUUGGCCUCCCAAACUGCUGGAAUUAAAGAUCUUAUCCAUUCUUUGGAAUCCUCAAAGCUCCACUAUACUCAAAAGUUGUCUGCCCUAUUGCUCAACAAGAUAAAAUGUCUGGGCUGGUGGCUGGAGGCUGGAGGAAGAAUCUGGAAAGAGAGAGAGACUGUGGAAAAGGCAUAGAAAGACCUUUGAACUAGCAGAACAUAUUUCUUUGAGGGACUUAGGAACUUCAUUCUGCUGCCUCAGCCCAGCUGACUCUUCUCCCAACUGCACAGCUGGCUCCUCAUCUUUCAAACUUCAUCUAAGAUAUAUUUCCUCCUAGAAACCUUCAUGGGCUGUCCACUCUAAAGUGUCCUCCUUCUCAGGGCAAAUCUGUUUCCAAUGCCUGUUAAGUACAAAACACCGUGUGGACAUGUUCCUAUUCUCAAGACGUUUGCUAUACAGUAGGAAGGAGAGGAGGGCCUGCUCUCUGCCAAACACUGUCCUAGGAGUUUUGCACAAUCCAUUGAGUAUUCUCUAUAUUUUUAACAGCCCUGAGAGAGUCUGGAUCCAUUGCAGCCAUUUUGAAAUUAACAAAUAAUAAGGGAAGGCCAACAAGGACAGAUGUAUAAAAGUAUAAUGAAUCAUAACAAGAGCUUCAUCCUCCUGGGUCUGGAGGCUAGAAGGUUGAAAUCAAGGUAUUAGCAGAGCCAUGUUUCCUCUGAAGGCUGUAGGUUAAUGGCUUUGUUUGGUAGAACAUACCCUUCAUCUUCUUUCUGAAUAAGAAUUCAUGGCAUGAACACGAGGACAGGAGCAACAGACACUGGGUCUACUUGAGAGUGGGGGGCGCGAGGAGUGAGAGGAGCAGAAAAAAAUAGGGCAAUCUUCCCAAAAGGUACACAGCUCUGGACGUACCAACACUCUAUUUAAAAACCAGUAAGGUAGAGUGGAAGGCAGAGCUGAGUGAAACUGAAACCUGGUAUUUGCUGGAGGUUUCUUUCUGGAAAGCUGACAGCACACCUCUGACCCUCUCCAAAAGGUCUGAUAUGAAAUAUUGCGACAAAGUUGGAAUCAACUGGCAGGCAUUUCAGUAGAUGUGCUAAUAGCAUGCAACAAUGGGAAGGCGCCAAAACUGAACUGAGGUGGUGAAAUGAGGUAGAGAUAAGCAAGUACCGCAAAAAAGGAGGCAAGAGAAAUGGCAAAACUGGGGUGGUUCAAAGAAGGAAACAGGGUUUGAUGCCAAUGGUUAUUGUCUGGCUUAUUCGAGUAGUUUUUAAAGGGAGAGGAAGGGAGAGGUGUGUCGCUACCUGCUGGUACUGUGGUGUGCCUUUAUUGCGUUUGGACAUCCAAGCAGACCUAUUUAUUUGUUCCCUAAGCAAAUAUUUAUUGAAUAUGUAUUAUGUCCUAGGCACUGUGUAUCAGAAAUAACUGCAUAUAUGAGCCUUGGAGGGUGAUUGUGGUUGAUAUGCAUUGACAUGGGUGAAAGGGAAGAGACAUAUUUUCAACUUUGUAUUUUUCAACACAUCCAGCUGCGUGCUUUCAGCCCAGCAGGUGCUCAAAAUAGGUUUACUGAGGUGAAAACCAAUUCUUGCCUCUAAAGGGUGUUCCAUGGUCUCACAGGAAUUAGGAAGGAGUGAGGAGCAUCUUUAGUAAAUAAACAAUGUGCUCAUAGCAUAAAAAAUACA
Molecule: long non-coding RNA, 3618 nt
Filed under: Homo sapiens (human)
Lineage: Eukaryota; Metazoa; Chordata; Mammalia; Primates; Hominidae
Description: long non-coding RNA NONHSAT199754.1
Source: RNAcentral